GACGUAGGGGACGAGCGUUGUCCGGAUUCAUUGGGCGUAAAGCGCGCGCAGGCGGCCAUGUUAGUCGGGUGUGAAAUCCUGGGGCUCAACCCCAGAACCGCACCCGAUACUGCAUGGCUAGAGGCAGGUAGGGGAGAUCGGAAUUCCUGGUGUAGCGGUGAAAUGCGCAGAUAUCAGGAGGAACACCGGUGGCGAAGGCGGAUCUCUGGGCCUGACCUGACGCUCAGGCGCGAAGGCUAGGGGAGCGAACAGG
Molecule: ribosomal RNA, 253 nt
Filed under: uncultured bacterium
Lineage: Bacteria
Description: partial 16S ribosomal RNA
Rfam family: Bacterial small subunit ribosomal RNA
Source: RNAcentral